AUUGAACGCUGGCGGCAGGCUUAACACAUGCAAGUCGAGCGGAGCGAGGGUGCUUGCACCUUAGCUUAGCGGCGGACGGGUGAGUAAUGCUUAGGAAUCUGCCUAUUAGUGGGGGACAACAUUCCGAAAGGAAUGCUAAAUACCGCAUACGCCCUACGAGGGAAAGCAGGGGGAUCUUCGGACCUUGCGCUAAUAGAUGAGCCUAAGUCGGAUUAGCUAGUUGGUGGGGUAAAGGCCUACCAAGGCGACGAUCUGUAGCGGGUCUGAGAGGAUGAUCCGCCACACUGGGACUGAGACACGGCCCAGACUCCUACGGGAGGCAGCAGUGGGGAAUAUUGGACAAUGGGCGCAAGCCUGAU
Molecule: ribosomal RNA, 359 nt
Filed under: uncultured bacterium
Lineage: Bacteria
Description: bacterial SSU rRNA
Rfam family: Bacterial small subunit ribosomal RNA
Source: RNAcentral